UUUGGUGAAUAAGUGCUCUUUUCUUUUAGUUUGUGCUUAUAAAUCUAAACAGAUUUGUAUCUAUUUUUAAUUUUUAAUUAAUAAGGACACAUAUUCGGUCACUAUUAGAAAUGUACAUUUUAUUCACCCAGCAAACACAACUAUGUGGUAUGAGUUAGUCUCUUGGUGGUGAUACGCCAUUAUGGAAACAUUUUAUCUUAGUAGUGACGAGAAAGUAAAGCCCCAGAAACAAGAAAUCUGACCGCUUUAAACAUCUGAAUUUAUCUACAACCCUACUGAGAGCAGCUACUUGUAAAAUUAAAUCUCCCCGGAAUAACCCAAGCUAGCAACUGGACAAGUUACCUCAGCACAGAUCCACAUGAUGGCGCAGAAACACCACAAACAUUCCUGACAACGCUUCAUUCGUAAAAGCUGGAGAAUCAGACGCGAAACACCAAACCGAGACAAACUCAACAAGGAUGCCUGGGAUCGUUGUUUGGAUAAAUGAUUAUCUGUUAAAAGCAUUGAUAAGCUAAGUUGUUUGUGAGCGAGUGGAACAGCGACCAUGUUGUGGUUGUAGCGGUAAAUGUUGGUAUUGUUUAUGCUGCUUAUUUUGCACAAAGAGUGUUUAGUUUUUGUCUGUUUCUAUUUACAAGUACAAAUAAAGUACAUUUAUUGAAAUUUUA
Trichomycterus rosablanca is the source of this 665-nucleotide long non-coding RNA. RefSeq lists it as uncharacterized. Lineage: Eukaryota; Metazoa; Chordata; Actinopteri; Siluriformes; Trichomycteridae. The transcript has 3 exons. The record is from RefSeq and is a predicted model, not a curated record.